Molecule: small nucleolar RNA, 103 nt
Organism: Myotis lucifugus (little brown bat)
Lineage: Eukaryota; Metazoa; Chordata; Mammalia; Chiroptera; Vespertilionidae
Source: Ensembl
ACUGCCCCUAGAAUUGUUGCAGGUUAGUUGGCAGGGAGAAGAGAGACUCACUUACACUCAGCAUUCUGGCCCUGGACGUCUGGAUGGUUGAUAGACUGACAUU